UACGUAGGGUGCAAGCGUUGUCCGGAAUUAUUGGGCGUAAAGAGCUCGUAGGCGGUCUGUUGCGUCGGCUGUGAAAACCCGGGGCUCAACCCCGGGCCUGCAGCCGAUACGGGCAGACUAGAGUUCGGCAGGGGAGACUGGAAUUCCUGGUGUAGCGGUGGAAUGCGCAGAUAUCAGGAGGAACACCGAUGGCGAAGGCAGGUCUCUGGGCCACUACUGACGCUGAGAAGCGAAAGCAUGGGGAGCGAACAGG
This 253-nucleotide ribosomal RNA is filed under the name uncultured bacterium. Its description in RNAcentral is "partial 16S ribosomal RNA". It matches the Rfam family "Bacterial small subunit ribosomal RNA", at positions 524 to 776 of the family's 1533-position model. The record is from RNAcentral.